Molecule: ribosomal RNA, 253 nt
Filed under: uncultured bacterium
Lineage: Bacteria
Description: partial 16S ribosomal RNA
Rfam family: Bacterial small subunit ribosomal RNA
Source: RNAcentral
UACGUAGGGUGCAAGCGUUAUCCGGAAUUAUUGGGCGUAAAGAGCUCGUAGGCGGUUUGUCGCGUCUGCUGUGAAAACCCGAGGCUCAACCUCGGGCCUGCAGUGGGUACGGGCAGACUGGAGUGCGGUAGGGGAGAAUGGAAUUCCUGGUGUAGCGGUGGAAUGCGCAGAUAUCAGGAGGAACACCGAUGGCGAAGGCAGUUCUCUGGGCCGUAACUGACGCUGAGGAGCGAAAGCGUGGGGAGCGAACAGG